This 480-nucleotide ribosomal RNA is filed under the name uncultured bacterium. RNAcentral's name for it is "bacterial SSU rRNA". It matches the Rfam family "Bacterial small subunit ribosomal RNA", at positions 28 to 507 of the family's 1533-position model. The record is from RNAcentral.
GAUGAACGCUAGCGGCAGGCCUAACACAUGCAAGUCGAGGGGGUAGAACACUUCGGUGUUUUGAGACCGGCGCACGGGUGCGUAACGCGUAUGCAAUCUACCUUGUACAGGGGAAUAGCCCAGAGAAAUUUGGAUUAAUGCCUCAUAGUAUAUAACCUUCGCAUGUUGGUUAUAUUAAAGUUUAGGCGGUACAAGAUGAGCAUGCGUCCCAUUAGUUAGUUGGUAAGGUAACGGCUUACCAAGACGAUGAUGGGUAGGGGUCCUGAGAGGGAGAUCCCCCACACUGGUACUGAGACACGGACCAGACUCCUACGGGAGGCAGCAGUGAGGAAUAUUGGUCAAUGGUCGCAAGACUGAACCAGCCAUGCCGCGUGCAGGAAGACGGUCCUAUGGAUUGUAAACUGCUUUUAUACAGGAAGAAACCCUCCCACGUGUGGGAGCUUGACGGUACUGUAGGAAUAAGGAUCGGCUAACUCCGUG